Molecule: long non-coding RNA, 1422 nt
Organism: Pezoporus flaviventris
Lineage: Eukaryota; Metazoa; Chordata; Aves; Psittaciformes; Psittacidae
Exons: 2
Source: RefSeq, a predicted model, not a curated record
UAGAAGUUGUGCAUUAUUAAUUGAAAGAAGCUUUUUAAGUAUACUUAAGUGACUCUGGUAGGGCUUGUUUGAUAGAAAUCAUCCAUCAGAACUUUCUGAUUUAGCUUCUAUGCAUCUUAUUUAAUCUUAGCUUCACAGUAUCACAUGCAGGAGAGCCUGCCAGGGUGACCUACCUGCCUUGGUCUGUGACCAGGAUUUCUGAGAAGGCCUCAGUUAAGAGAUAGUGGUUUGAUGAGGGCCUUGGUGCUGCAGGAGCAGUGUGGCUGUAAAUUGUGUCAAUAAACGGGAGGUGGCAGUGGGUGGCACAUAAACAAGGGACCAUUUUUCUGCAGAGGUAUAACAUCCAUUGGUCAGGCUGAAACCCAGUUUCUUCAAAUACAUCACUCUGAAAGCAGGAAAAGCAGUUUCCUGAAGGGAUGUUGCACCUCAUCUAACCUAAGUCUUAUUCAUAAGAAAAAAAUAUUCCAAGAUUUUAAAAUUGAGACAGAAAAGUUGCUUUUCUGUUUGGCAGCACUGCCCAGUGUGUGUGUGCGCUUUCUCCUGCCAGCUGCUGUGUGUAGUGCUGUCCUAUUGCUUGUGGUCUAGUGGCUGCUUUUUCUUCUAAACCACUGCAAGAGAGAACAUCUUGUUUCUCUCUUUAUAAAGCCUGCACAGCCCAGGUGGCCACUCCUUCCUCUCACUCCAUCCACACAGCUAGAACCUAAAAUGUCCCAUUAUCUGCUCAUGCCUGAUCUCUGGCAUGCCCGCCUUUCUGCAUCACAGUCCGCAUCCCAUCCACUCCGGAUGGGUGGAUGGGCUCAUAGCAUGGGGCUUUAACCAUGUCGCUGCUCUUGUGACUCCCUCCCUUGCCCCUCAGAUAACUUUUCCCAUGAUCUCAGCUCUUGCAUAUUUACAGACCCUCAGACAAAACUGCUCCUCUCCUACUUCAGAUGAGGCCUCGCACUCAGUGUCCUUUCCAGCCUUUCUCCAUCUCUACUUCUCAUCUCUCCUCCAGCAUUGCUCGUUUGCCACCCUGCUCAGUGUAUUACCACGUGCCUUUGUUCCACAGAGAAACAACACACUGACUCUUAUGUUCAUCCAUUCCUGCCUCCAUCUGUUUGUAUCCCCCAUUGCCUUUUGGUCUGUGACCUUCGCAGAGUUUUCUUCUGUCAGUGCCCAUUACAGAAUGGGUUCUUCAUCCAUGACGUAAGUUUCAUAGAAGUAGUAAUGAUUAGCAGUGAUUCUUAAAUAACACUGGGGGAUCUUGGCUCAAGUUUGAAACUAAGGACUAGAGCAGAUUAGACAGCGUGGAACUCAGGAGUGUUUCUCCUCUACCUGUGUGACUCUGGUGUGAAAAUGAGAAUUUCUUAGAUUGAUUCCACAUGUCAGUAGACUUCUCUUGGACAACAAAGGAGUGUAAAUAGUACUGCCAACACGGGAAAA